AGCACGUAGGUGGGUUUGUAAGUCAGAUGUGAAAGCCUUCUGUUCAACGGAAGAAUUGCAUCUGAAACUACAAAUCUUGAGUGUAGGAGGGGAGAAUGGAACUUCUGGUGGAGCGGUGAAAUGCGUAGAUAUCAGAAGGAACGCCGGCGGCGAAAGCGAUUCUCUGGCCUACUACUGACACUCAGUGUGCGAAAGCUAGGGGAGCAAACGGGAUUAGAUACCCCGGUAGUCCUAGCUGUAAACGAUGGGCACUAAGUAGAGGGGUUUU
Molecule: ribosomal RNA, 268 nt
Filed under: uncultured anaerobic ammonium-oxidizing bacterium
Lineage: Bacteria
Description: partial 16S ribosomal RNA
Rfam family: Bacterial small subunit ribosomal RNA
Source: RNAcentral